Molecule: long non-coding RNA, 1904 nt
Organism: Gadus morhua (Atlantic cod)
Lineage: Eukaryota; Metazoa; Chordata; Actinopteri; Gadiformes; Gadidae
Exons: 4
Source: RefSeq, a predicted model, not a curated record
GUGAAUUAGGAGGCGUGGUUAUCGCUUUAGAGUGGCAGCCAUUUUUUUCCACCGCAUCACAACAACUGACUCGGGAAAAAGAUGACUAAGACAGGGAAGUCAGACAGCUACUGGAGGGACCUCUGCAUAAAAUAUGCCCAGGACCAAUACCGCUUCUCGACUGGCAAACGGCCAGGGGCCAAGAAAUGGAAAAAGGCCUUGGAGAGUAUCGAUGCCUGCCCCCUGCAGAGCCAUAGUGCUAGUAAGGAUCUGUUCGGGAGAAGCCUUCAGUGCUCCUGUGGGUUCCAAAAGGCGAGCGCAUAGCAGUGGAGUAUUUAUUGGCCCAGACCAACAGAGGUGACCUGCUGGCUCCAAAUCAGGUCCCUGAGGUCCCCUCGCAGGUACUUGAGGAGGAGGAUGAGCCAGAUGACACCAUCAGCAUGACUGACAUUCUGUGCCAGUCAGCUGCGAUAGGGGCUGGUGAUCCUCCAGGUGCUGUGGUGGGUGAUGCUGAACCCGGACCCCUCGUCACAGAGACCAGCCAAUGUGACUCAAGGAGGAUGCGGUUGAUAACCUGGCAGGCUACCUAGUUGGCUUGAAUCGCACCAUCACUGCCUUGUCAUUGAAGGAGGAGGUGGACAUAGUCCAGCUAUAUACAGCUCUCCAUGUCAUGGACAAGAAGCAUUCGAGGUACAAAAUAGUAAUCCCUAUUGACGACUCUAUUGACGACUUUACAUCCUUGUUCACAGUCCAGAUCAUAUCAUGAUGUGGGAGUCAUGUAUAGUUCCACAGACUGUACAUGACUCACGGCCAAGCAGCCCAGGAUCCCGAACACCACAGGGUCAGUGAGUGUGUCUGCCUCAGACUCCCUUUUGGAGUUCCAGGAGCCUGAGAACCGUGAGGGUGCGGCAAAAGUCCGCCAGCGACACAGUUCCAGGACACCUGUACCACGUGCCAUUCCACACACAGAGCUAUUACCAAGCACGAUGCUGCUUCCUCUGGAAACAGCUGUAUGGAGAGCUGGUCCUCUACCUACCAGCCACCCCCAACAAACUACCAGAGCUGGACUUCUUUUCUUCAGGCACCCCCGGAACACUCCCAGGAGUACUCCUCUGCCCAUCAGCUACCCCCAGCUCACACUCAAGGCUGGUCCACUUACCAGGCACCCCUUGCACACUCCCAUGUUUGGUCUUCCACCCAACCACCACCCUCAGCGUCCAACCAGGGCUGGUCUGCCACCCAACCACCACCCUCAGCAUCCUCCCAGGGCUGGUCAUCCACCUCCUACUGUCCUGACCAACCUAGGCUCCCUCACCAAGCACACCCAGAGGCACUAGGUCACCUUAAUCGCCAGCGUGAAUGGCGAUUACACAAGGCAACCCAAAUCCAAGCAAACUGGACACUAUCAGUUACGUGGAAAAUGGUACUGCCCUGCAUCCGGACAGAUGCUUGAGGAGUGGAGAAGCUCCUUGUAAUUACCCCAAUAGACAUUAUUUUUUAUUGUAAUUUUUUUUAUUUCUUAUCAGAAAAUAUGUUAACGUUCACUGUUGAAAAAUAAGUAUAUUUGCUGUUGCAAAAAAUAAUAAUAAUUAGUUGCCGUUGCAACUAUUUGCAAAAAAAAACAAACAGAAUAGUUGCUUAUGCAACUAUUUGCAAAAAUAAAAACAACUACAAAAAUAACAACUCUUGUGGUGUAAUAGUAACACGUCCAUCCUUGGGGUGGGAGACUCCAGGUGCAAAUCCUGGUAAGAGUGUGCAACUUGUUGAAACGAAUACAUCAUUUAAAAAGUAUUAAUAACAUACAAAACAGGGCAAUUUCAAGAUAUUCUAUGUUAAUGGCUUGCAGGUCAAACCAAUAAAUCACUUAUUAAGUAUGUUUAUUCUUCAAAAAGCAUUAUUUUGCAUAUUAAAAGCUAAGAAUUUCA